Molecule: ribosomal RNA, 110 nt
Organism: Erinaceus europaeus (western European hedgehog)
Lineage: Eukaryota; Metazoa; Chordata; Mammalia; Eulipotyphla; Erinaceidae
Source: Ensembl
GUCUACGGCCAUACCACCCUGAACACGCCCAAUCUCAUCUGAUCUCAGAAGCUAAGCAGGGUUGGGCCUGCUUAGUACUUGGAUGGGAGAAAUGAAGACAACUAUAGAGG